UACAGAGGGUGCAAGCGUUGUUCGGAAUUACUGGGCGUAAAGGGUGAGUAGGCGGUUUUGUAAGUCAGAUGUGAAAGCCUGGGGCUCAACCCCAGAAUUGCAUUUGAAACUGCAAGACUUGAGUAGAGUAGAGGCAAGCGGAAUUCCAAGUGUAGAGGUGAAAUUCGUAGAUAUUUGGAGGAACACCAGUGGCGAAGGCGGCUUGCUGGGCUCUUACUGACGCUGAGGCACGAAAGCGUGGGGAUCAAACAGG
Molecule: ribosomal RNA, 253 nt
Filed under: uncultured bacterium
Lineage: Bacteria
Description: partial 16S ribosomal RNA
Rfam family: Bacterial small subunit ribosomal RNA
Source: RNAcentral